This 253-nucleotide ribosomal RNA is filed under the name uncultured bacterium. RNAcentral's name for it is "partial 16S ribosomal RNA". It matches the Rfam family "Bacterial small subunit ribosomal RNA", at positions 524 to 776 of the family's 1533-position model. The record is from RNAcentral.
UAGGUAGGCAGCAAGCAGUGUUCGGAAUCACUGGGCGUAAAGGGUGCGUAGGCGGGUCUUUAAGUCAGGGGUGAAAUCCUGGAGCUCAACUCCAGAACUGCCUUUGAUACUGAGGAUCUUGAGUUCGGGAGAGGUGAGUGGAACUGCGAGUGUAGAGGUGAAAUUCGUAGAUAUUCGCAAGAACACCAGUGGCGAAGGCGGCUCACUGGCCCGAUACUGACGCUGAGGCACGAAAGCGUGGGGAGCAAACAGG